UUCCGGUUGAUCCUGCCGGACCCGACUGCUAUCAGAGUGGGACUAAGCCAUGCGAGUCGACGUAGCAAUGCGUGGCGAACGGCUCAGUAACACGUAGUCAACAUGCCCAGGGGACGUGGGUAACCUCGGGAAACUGAGAAUAAACCACGAUAGGUCACGAUUUCUGGAAUGGAUCAUGGCCUAAAUCUACAUGGCCCCUGGAUUGGACUGCGGCCGAUCAGGCUGUUGGUGAGGUAAUGGCCCACCAAACCUAUAACCGGUACGGGCUCUGAGAGGAGAAGCCCGGAGAUGGGCACUGAGACAAGGGCCCAGGCCCUAUGGGGCGCAGCAGGCGCGAAACCUCUGCAAUAGGCGAAAGCCUGACAGGGUUACUCUGAGUGAUUUCCGCUAAGGGGAUCUUUUGGCACCUCUAAAAAUGGUGCAGAAUAAGGGGUGGGCAAGUCUGGUGUCAGCCGCCGCGGUAAUACCAGCACCCCGAGUGGUCGGGACGAUUAUUGGGCCUAAAGCAUCCGUAGCCGGUUCUGCAAGUCUUCCGUUAAAUCCAGCCGCUCAACGGAUGGGCCGCGGAGGAUACUACAGGACUAGGAGGCGGGAGAGGCAAGCGGUACUCAGUGGGUAGGGGUAAAAUCCUUUGAUCCAUUGAAGACCACCAGUGGCGAAGGCGGCUUGCCAGAACGCGCUCGACGGUGAGGGAUGAAAGCUGGGGGAGCAAACCGGAUUAGAUACCCGGGUAGUCCCAG
Molecule: ribosomal RNA, 740 nt
Filed under: uncultured archaeon
Lineage: Archaea
Description: bacterial SSU rRNA
Rfam family: Archaeal small subunit ribosomal RNA
Source: RNAcentral